Molecule: transfer RNA, 72 nt
Filed under: Ictidomys tridecemlineatus (thirteen-lined ground squirrel)
Lineage: Eukaryota; Metazoa; Chordata; Mammalia; Rodentia; Sciuridae
Description: Spermophilus tridecemlineatus (thirteen-lined ground squirrel) tRNA
Rfam family: tRNA
About the family: Transfer RNA (tRNA) molecules are approximately 80 nucleotides in length. Their secondary structure includes four short double-helical elements and three loops (D, anti-codon, and T loops).
Source: Rfam by way of RNAcentral
GGAGGUAUGGCUCAAUGCUAGAGCACUUGCCCUGUAUGCAUGAGGCUCUGGGUUCCAUUCCCAGCACCACAA